GUACCUUGUAAUGGGCGCCCAGCUUUCACCUGCUACUUAUACUAAAAUUGGAAUGAUACAGAAAAAAUUAACAUGACCCUUGUGUAAGGAUGACACACAUAUUUGUAAAACAUUCCAUAUUUUA
Molecule: small nuclear RNA, 124 nt
Organism: Marmota marmota marmota (Alpine marmot)
Lineage: Eukaryota; Metazoa; Chordata; Mammalia; Rodentia; Sciuridae
Source: Ensembl